RNAcentral lists this long non-coding RNA (2073 nucleotides) under Oreochromis niloticus (Nile tilapia). Its description in RNAcentral is "lncRNA (ENSONIG00000034196.1)". Lineage: Eukaryota; Metazoa; Chordata; Actinopteri; Cichliformes; Cichlidae. The record is from RNAcentral.
ACUGCAGUUCAAAAUCCUUUUUUCCACUUGCAAUUUAAUAAACUGCAGUUCAAAAUCCAUUUCCCUUUCCUGUUCGCUCUGGGAUUAGCUGCUGGAUUAGCUGCUGGAUUAGCUCUUCGAUUAACAACUUGCUGGAGGCUAUUCAAAUUAGCCACACCGUGGGAUGUAAGGAGCUCUCUGAUUGGUUGGUUGGACACAGGCUGUCUGCCAGCCUGGAUUUUUCUAGCUCAAAGCUUCUCCCUGCUACGAAGCGUGUGUGCUUGUACAAAGGCCGUUCAGCGUCGGGAUUUACACUCGGCUCGACACGGAUAUGUGAAGAAUGAAGGGACCCUGCAGCGAAACGGAGAGCCAACCAUAGUCUGGUUGUUUAUAUUUUCACAUGUUUUUGUGUCUGUAGGGCUGUUUGAUGACGAUUUGGACUCCUAUGGGAGAUGAGGACACACCCACAUCUGUUCCAUACUGCAGCCAUUGAUGGUGUUACAGCUCUGAGUCAGAUUUGGGCCAUCAGACGCACACACUGGAAAACCAGCACCUGGACUUCAUGCAGGAGAGACGGCCUCAGUGAUGGACUCUGCAUCCUCUACUUUACCUCUAAUCUUUCUUCUUUAACACACAAUUAAAAUCACUCCAAAAGAGUGUAAACUUACUGAGGAAGUCUCUAACUUGUACACAUUUGUACUUUUACUUGUUUUAUGAGUUAUUUUUAAGAAGAGUAAAGUUAUUCACAUAAAGUUGUUAUUCUUCUGUAUUUAUUCUUUUGUAUCAUGUACCACAGUCAUACUGAACUUUACAGACCUGGUGAAUUGGAGAAAACAAAGAUCACACACACAUACAUACACACACAUAUCAUUCAGCUUCAGCAGUAUUUCUAUUCAUCUUAUGAAUUUCCAGUCUAAUGUCAAUUCACUGAGUUCAGUUUUGGUCUUAAACUCCAGAGAAUACCACCUGGUUCAACAAUCUUUUUAUCUGAUUAUUGGCAAAAUGUUUUCUUCUGAAAGAAGAAAACAUUUUGGGCUCAAUUUCAGCCUCAGGCAAAAUUGAGCCCAAAGAAACAACAACAAAGUUUAGUUCCUCUGGAUUUUCCAUGGAAAAUUGUUUUAUCACUCAUCCAGGUGACUUCUCCAGUGUCACGGAUGAGUGAUGAAUGUAUCUCCCACUGGAAACCAUUGUGUCCAGUUAAAGUCAAUCGACUUUUUUUAAGGAGAGUUGUUAGAUGCUGUGCUCAUGAGGACAAUGGGUUUUAACUUGCAGCACAACACAAAGCUGCCAUACUGGAUCAACGAUCAAAACACUUAAUUGAGCAGAAUUAAGGCAAAAUGUAAUAUCCUCAUAUGAUGACACAUCACACAUGAUCCAGCAUUGUUCUAAGAAUGCAAACUUUCUUAAUGGAAGUUUCCACAGCUGCCAGAAAGGGACAGAUUUCUGGCUGGUCUUAAUGAGUGGUCGUUGCUCUCUCGUUUUCUCUGGAAUUGCUGCACAGAGGAUGUAACACCCAUGAUAAGCACUGAGGUUUGUGUCCUUGUCAGAAAUCAGCAAUACUCAGCUUCCAGGUAAGGAAAAGUGGAACCAGAAGAUAUUCAAAUGCAUCUCUCCACAGCUGCUGAUGAAUUCUACAAAAAACAAAGUUUGUUAAAAACAUUUGCAGGUGAAUCACCACUGAUUUAUCAGCGACAUCCAUUUACUCAAAAAAUACUGACAAGUGGAUAACUAGGAUAUAUAAUAUCUAUAUAGAUAUAAUUUCAAAAAUGUCCUGUACAAAAUGGAACUGUAUAUGACAAAUGUGGUGUGGUGCUUGUGGAAUUUUUAACAAGGACCCUGCAAAACUUUACAGUACUCAUGCUGCCAAACUUUUGACAGCUAGGUGUGCAGUAGGGCUGGGUAUCGUCACUGAUUUCUAGAAUCGAUUCAUUUCCGAUUCACAAGGUCCCGAAUCGAUUCGAUCCACGAUUCGAUUCAAUUCGAUUUGAAUCUGGGAAAUUUUGACAGUCAGAAAUAUUAUAAUUCAGAUUUCAUUGACAUAUUUUUGUAUCUAUAAAAAGGAAGCUGACACACGCAAGACUUUAUCAAAGGUGU